UACGGGAGGCAGCAGUAGGGAAUAUUGGGCAAUGGACGCAAGUCUGACCCAGCCAUGCCGCGUGCAGGAUGAAGGCGUUAUGCGUUGUAAACUGCUUUUAUACAGGAAGAAACGACUCUUGCGAGAGGCAUUGACGGUACUGUAUGAAUAAGCACCGGCUAACUCCGUGCCAGCAGCCGCGGUAAUACGGAGGGUGCAAGCGUUGUCCGGAUUUAUUGGGUUUAAAGGGUGCGCAGGUGGUUUAUUAAGUCAGUGGUGAAAGACGGUCGCUCAACGAUUGCAGUGCCAUUGAAACUGGUAGACUUGAGUAAAGUAGAGGUGGGCGGAAUUGAUAGUGUAGCGGUGAAAUGCAUAGAUAUUAUCAAGAACUCCAAUUGCGUAGGCAGCUCACUUGGCUUUUACUGACACUCAUGCACGAAAGUGUGGGUAUCAAACAGGAUUAGAUACCCUGGUAGUCCACACUGUAAACGAUGAUAACUAGGUGUCGGCUGAAUCUGGUCGGUGCCACAGCGAAAGCGUUAAGUAUCCACCUG
Molecule: ribosomal RNA, 533 nt
Filed under: uncultured Bacteroidota bacterium
Lineage: Bacteria; Pseudomonadati; Bacteroidota
Description: bacterial SSU rRNA
Rfam family: Bacterial small subunit ribosomal RNA
Source: RNAcentral